Molecule: ribosomal RNA, 429 nt
Filed under: Actinomycetes bacterium
Lineage: Bacteria; Bacillati; Actinomycetota; Actinomycetes
Description: Actinobacteria bacterium partial 16S ribosomal RNA
Rfam family: Bacterial small subunit ribosomal RNA
Source: RNAcentral
UAGGGAAUCUUCCGCAAUGGGCGAAAGCCUGACGGCGCAACGCCGCGUGAGUGAUGAAGGUCUUCGGAUCGUAAAACUCUGUUAUUAGGGAAGAACAAAUGUGUAAGUAACUAUGCACGUCUUGACGGUACCUAAUCAGAAAGCCACGGCUAACUACGUUCCAGCAGCCGCGGUAAUACGUAGGUGGCAAGCGUUAUCCGGAAUUAUUGGGCGUAAAGCGCGCGUAGGCGGUUUUUUAAGUCUGAUGUGAAAGCCCACGGCUCAACCGUGGAGGGUCAUUGGAAACUGGAAAACUUGAGUGCAGAAGAGGAAAGUGGAAUUCCAUGUGUAGCGGUGAAAUGCGCAGAGAUAUGGAGGAACACCAGUGGCGAAGGCGACUUUCUGGUCUGUAACUGACGCUGAUGUGCGAAAGCGUGGGGAUCAAACAGG